This 336-nucleotide long non-coding RNA is filed under the name Carica papaya (papaya). Its description in RNAcentral is "long non-coding RNA (CPAP_LNC007119)". Lineage: Eukaryota; Viridiplantae; Streptophyta; Magnoliopsida; Brassicales; Caricaceae. The record is from RNAcentral.
AAUCAAAACCUACCGUCAGGGGUCUUCGGGUGCGGCCGCUCUGCCAGUUCUCCUUUGCGACUGGGAUUCCUCUUCGACUAACUUGCACUAGAAAAAGUUGGUGAACACGAUUUUGAAAACAUCGUGUAAAACGAAAAAACAUGAAGGAGGUCAUCGGAGAGGGUUUAGGGUUUUGGCUACGGUUGCUCUACCAGAUUUUGUUCACAAUUUUUAGCUCAUACGCUGUCCCUUUUGCUCCGAUAUUACCACAGGGAGAUUCACAAUUAAAUUCCAAGUGGGGAGGAGAAAAUUUUACAUUUUUUGGCAGUCGACGGUUGUAGUUACCCGGAACUUAAA